AGCGGCAGACGGGAUAGUAACACGUGGGAACGUACCUUUCAAUUCUGAACAACCAAGGGAAACUUUGGCUAGUACCGAAUACGCCCGUAAGGGGAAAGAUUUAUCGCUGAAAGAUCGGCCCGCGUCUGAUUAGCUAGUUGGUGAGGUAAUGGCUCACCAAGGCGACGAUCAGUAACUGGUCUGAGAGGAUGAUCAUCAUCACUGGGACUGAGACACGGCCCAGACUCCUACGGGAGGCAGCAGUGGGGAAUAUUGGACAAUGGGCGCAAGCCUGAUCCAUCCAUGCCGCGUGAGUGAUGAAGGCCUUAGGGUUGUAAAGCUCUUUCGUCAGGGAAGAUAAUGACGGUACCUGAAGAAGAAGCCCCGGCUAACUUCGUGCCAGCAGCCGCGGUAAUACGAAGGGGGCUAGCGUUGCUCGGAAUCACUGGGCGUAAAGCGCACGUAGGCGGCUUUCCAAGUCAGAGGUGAAAUCCCGGGGCUCAACCCCGGAACUGCCUUUGAUACUGGAGAGCUUGAUUUCGGGAGAGGUGAGUGGAACUGCGAGUGUAUAGGUGAAAUUCGUAUAUAUUCGCAAGAACACCAGUGGCGAA
This 590-nucleotide ribosomal RNA is filed under the name uncultured Alphaproteobacteria bacterium. RNAcentral describes it as "bacterial SSU rRNA". It matches the Rfam family "Bacterial small subunit ribosomal RNA", at positions 94 to 719 of the family's 1533-position model. Lineage: Bacteria; Pseudomonadati; Pseudomonadota; Alphaproteobacteria. The record is from RNAcentral.